This 408-nucleotide ribosomal RNA is filed under the name uncultured microorganism. RNAcentral describes it as "bacterial SSU rRNA". It matches the Rfam family "Bacterial small subunit ribosomal RNA", at positions 509 to 917 of the family's 1533-position model. The record is from RNAcentral.
CAGCAGCCGCGGUAAUACGGAGGGCGCGAGCGUUGUCCGGAUUCACUGGGCGUAAAGCGUGCGCAGGCGGUUCGGAAAGAAAGAUGUGAAAUCCCAGAGCUUAACUUUGGAACUGCAUUUUUAACUACCGGGCUAGAGUGUGUCAGAGGGAGGUGGAAUUCCGCGUGUAGCAGUGAAAUGCGUAGAUAUGCGGAGGAACACCGAUGGCGAAGGCAGCCUCCUGGGAUAACACCGACGCUCAUGCACGAAAGCGUGGGGAGCAAACAGGAUUAGAUACCCUGGUAGUCCACGCCCUAAACGAUGUCAACUAGCUGUUGGGGCCUUCGGGCCUUGGUAGCGCAGCUAACGCGUGAAGUUGACCGCCUGGGGAGUACGGUCGCAAGAUUAAAACUUAAAGGAAUUGGCGGG